This 749-nucleotide ribosomal RNA is filed under the name uncultured soil bacterium. RNAcentral describes it as "bacterial SSU rRNA". It matches the Rfam family "Bacterial small subunit ribosomal RNA", at positions 30 to 772 of the family's 1533-position model. The record is from RNAcentral.
UGAACGCUGGCGGCAGGCCUAACACAUGCAAGUCGAGCGGCAGCACGGGUACUUGUACCUGGUGGCGAGCGGCGGACGGGUGAGUAAUGCCUAGGAAUCUGCCUGGUAGUGGGGGAUAACGCUCGGAAACGGACGCUAAUACCGCAUACGUCCUACGGGAGAAAGCAGGGGACCUUCGGGCCUUGCGCUAUCAGAUGAGCCUAGGUCGGAUUAGCUAGUUGGUGAGGUAAUGGCUCACCAAGGCGACGAUCCGUAACUGGUCUGAGAGGAUGAUCAGUCACACUGGAACUGAGACACGGUCCAGACUCCUACGGGAGGCAGCAGUGGGGAAUAUUGGACAAUGGGCGAAAGCCUGAUCCAGCCAUGCCGCGUGUGUGAAGAAGGUCUUCGGAUUGUAAAGCACUUUAAGUUGGGAGGAAGGGCAUUUACCUAAUACGUAAGUGUUUUGACGUUACCGACAGAAUAAGCACCGGCUAACUCUGUGCCAGCAGCCGCGGUAAUACAGAGGGUGCAAGCGUUAAUCGGAAUUACUGGGCGUAAAGCGCGCGUAGGUGGUUCGUUAAGUUGGAUGUGAAAUCCCCGGGCUCAACCUGGGAACUGCAUUCAAAACUGUCGAGCUAGAGUAUGGUAGAGGGUGGUGGAAUUUCCUGUGUAGCGGUGAAAUGCGUAGAUAUAGGAAGGAACACCAGUGGCGAAGGCGACCACCUGGACUGAUACUGACACUGAGGUGCGAAAGCGUGGGGAGCAAA